CAGGAAAUCCAGCAUAUUACCACAGUCAAAACUCACUUUAAUUUUUUCAAAAUCCGUUCAUGUUUUUUAAUACCGUUCAUGUUUUUAAUAAAACAGAAAUGAUUACCGUUUGGCGGUCACGCGCGAACACUUUAGCUGCGAGGAAGGAAAUACUUUGUGUAAACGUAUUACAUAGCUCCCAGAAGAAUAAAAUCACCAUUUUUUCAAGUAAAAGUUUGUAAAACGGUCUUUUUAUAGAGAGUUUUUGCACUAAACUCGGACAGAUUUAAAAAAAUAAAUUAAAAAAAUUGGAGGUCGG
Molecule: long non-coding RNA, 298 nt
Filed under: Paramuricea clavata
Lineage: Eukaryota; Metazoa; Cnidaria; Anthozoa; Malacalcyonacea; Plexauridae
Source: RNAcentral